UAUUCUGCCCCACGGGGAAGGAUGAGAAGCUUCGACUAAGGUUCGACUCGAGCGAAGCGAGAGAACGUUGCCGCAGGCAACGGCCCGAAGGGCGAGGCGCUUUAGCGCCGAGUAAUCCUUCCCCACCACCA
RNAcentral lists this small RNA (131 nucleotides) under Klebsiella pneumoniae. Its description in RNAcentral is "RtT sRNA". It matches the Rfam family "RtT RNA". From Rfam's summary of the family: This family represents a bacterial cis-regulatory element known as RtT RNA. The record is from RNAcentral. Lineage: Bacteria; Pseudomonadati; Pseudomonadota; Gammaproteobacteria; Enterobacterales; Enterobacteriaceae.